RNAcentral lists this long non-coding RNA (1233 nucleotides) under Junco hyemalis (dark-eyed junco). Its description in RNAcentral is "lncRNA (ENSJHYG00000003401.1)". Lineage: Eukaryota; Metazoa; Chordata; Aves; Passeriformes; Passerellidae. The record is from RNAcentral.
UUCUCCCCUCCCGCUUUUCCUCCCUUUUCCCCGAUUUCCCUCCCGGUUCCCGCCCUCAUUCCCGGUUUCCUUUCCCGCUUUUCCUUUCUUUAUCUCGGUUUUCCCUCUCUCAUUCCCGCUUUUCCCUCAUUCCUGGUUUUCCCUUUCCCCAUUCCCGGCUUCUCCUCCCGCUUUUCCUCCCUCAUUCCCGGUUUCCUUUCCCGGUUUCCUUUCCCGGAUUUCCCUCAUUCCCGGUUUCCUCCCUUAAUCCCGGUUUUCUCGCCCCUCCCUCAUUCCCGGUUUCCUUUCCCGGUUUCCCUCCUUUUAUCCCGGUUUUCCCUCUCUCUUUUCCCGCCCCUCAUUCCCGGUUUCUCCUCCCGCUUUUCCUUCCCUCAUUCCCGGUUUCCUUUCCCGGUUUCCUCCCUUUAUCCCGGAUUUCCCGCCCCUCCCUCAUUCCCGGUUUUCCCGCCCCUCCCUCCCCUCCCCCUUUUUGAACGCCCCGGGCUCCGCCCCCCGCCCGUUAAAUGGGGCCCGAGCGGGAGCGGCACCGGGAGCGGCACCGGGAGCGGGAUUGGGAGAGACCGGGACCGGGACAAGCACCGGGACCCGCACCGGGAUCGGGACCGGGAUUGGGACUGGGAGAGACCGGGACCGGAACAAGCACCGGGAUCGGCACCGGGAUCGGGAUCGUCCGGGACCGGGAUUGGGAUCGGAACCGGGAUCAGAACCGGGAUUGGGAGAGACCGGGAUCGGAAUCAGCCCCGGGAUCGGAAUCUGGAUCAGAACCGGGAUCGGCACCGGACGGGGAUUGGGGUCAGAACCGGCACCGGGAGCGACCGGGACUGGGAUAAGCACCGGGAUCGGCACCGGAAUCGGGAUCACAACCGGGAACGGAGCGACCGGGACCGGGAUAAGCACCGGGACCGGGACUGGGAUCAGAACUGCGAUCGUCCGGUACCGGGAUAAGCACCGGGAUCAGGUUUAGAACCGGGAUUAACACCGGGAUCGGGAUAAGCACCGGGAUCAGAACCGGGAACCACCGGGAGCGGGAUAAACACCGGGAUUUGUACCGGGAGCGCUCAGAACCGGGAUCAGAACCGGAAUCUGGACUGGGAGCGGCACCGGGAGCGUCCGGUACCGGGAUAAGCACCGGAACCGGCACCGGGAUCAGCUCGGAGCUCUCGGGUCUCUCCAAGCUCCGGUUCCGCUCCCGAACCGAGACGGGACCGAAAACAGAACCGGGAACGGCCGGGA